Molecule: long non-coding RNA, 2683 nt
Organism: Homo sapiens (human)
Lineage: Eukaryota; Metazoa; Chordata; Mammalia; Primates; Hominidae
Source: Ensembl
AGUGGCCCGGUGGUGGAGAUGCUUCCGAGACGAAAGCACAGAAAGCAAAUGCAGAACUUCCCUGCCUCUCCGUCCUUCCCUCAUUUUGAACAGAGACAGCAGCUACCUGUGACUGCCCUGGGGUGAAUGUGCAGCAUCUGGGGUAAAUUUCUUCCCACGCCUGCCCGCAGCAGUCGAGACAGAAGCUGGCACAGGGCUGCCCUUCUUGUGAGCCAGGCAGCAAAAACCAGGCGCUGAGGCUCAGAACUGCUGACUCAAGCCUCCAUGAAGGAACAGAAAUCCAGAAAGCCGGGCCAGAAAUAGCAUCCGUGAGCAUCUAUUGAUAGCAUAAAGUCCGUGGGCAGAGUCCCAGUUCCCACCCUGAGUCCUGCCAAACAGUGCUGCAACAGUCAGCGUUCUGGCCACAGAGAGUGAGGAUGCAGGAUGGCUCGGCCCAUUUCCCCAACUACGUCAGUCUGGACAGAUGUCUCAGGCUGUGUUGGCAGAGGCACUGCUGGUACCACGUGCCAACCUCGGGACAAGCUGCCUCCUCUUGGAAAUGAAGCAGGGACGAUGCACCAGGGAAUCAUGUCAUCAAGUCAGCCGUGUCAACACGCGUUUAUGGAAUGGAAUGGAAUAGAGUAUCACUGCAGCCCACCAAAACAGCUGUCUCUGUCUGCCUCCUUUUCCCCAUCACUGCUGGGAGUUGGAGUGGGGGGAAUGUGAAUUCAAUGCCUCCUACUUGUCAAACACUGAGCUACAUUCUUCAUGUACAUUUACUACUCACAAUAACCCCCAAGAGAACCCACAGGCCCAGUCCAAUCAUGAGAAAAGCAUCAGACAAAUUCCAAUAGUGGGGCAUCCUACUAAAUACCCAACCAGAACUCCUUAGAACUGUCAAGGUCAUCAGAAACAAGACAAGUCUAAGAAGAAACAGCCACAGCCAAGAGGCACCUACAGAAACAAAAUGGAAAUGUGGUUUCCUGGAUGGGAUCCUGGAACAGAAAAAGGACAUUAGGGAAAAACUAAGAAAACGUGAAUCAACUAUUGUAUUAGUUCAUUUUCUGUUGCUUAUAGCAGAAUACCUGAAACUAGAUAACUUAUAAAGAAAAGUAGUUGUUUUCUUACAGUUAUGGAGUCUGAGAAGUCAAAGGUCAAGGGGCAGCAUCUGGUGAGGGCCUUCUUGCUGGUGGGGACUCUGCAGAGUACAGAGGUGGUUCAGGGUAUCCUAUAACGAGGGGGCUGAGUAAGCUAGCUCGGGUCUUUCUUCCUCUUCUUAUAAAGCCACCAGUCCCACUCCCAUGAUAUCCCAGCAAUCCAUUAAUUCAUGAAUGGAUUAACCCAUUCAUGAGUGCAGAGCCACAUAACCCAAUCACCUCUUAAAGGCCUCACCUCUCAAUACUGCCAGAUUGGGGGUUAAGUUUCAGCAUGAAUUUUGGAGGCAACAAAUACUCAAACCACAGCAACUAUAGACUUUAGUUAUUAUAAUAAAGAUGUAUCAAUAUAUUGAUAACUUUUUUUUUUUGAGAUGGACCUCAGGGUCCAUGCACAUGCUGUUUCUCCCCAACAAUAUCUAUUCUCUUCUGUAUCUUCAGCAACCUCCGGCCCAGCCCACACAUAAACCCACUCAGCCUAAGCUCUCAGUCGAUUCCCUGGGAAGCCAUCCUCAGCUACCCAGACUAAGUGAGGUUGUGGGUCGCAUCCAUCCAGGGUGCUGCACUUCUCCCCUAGUAACUCAUUGCUCCAUGUCUAUCUGCCAGCACUGGAUGCUCCUUGAGGGCAGGACGGUGCCUGUCUUCCAGACCUCUGUGUCCUGUCCCUAGCACAGUGAUUGGCCCAGAGUAAUCCCAAGUUCAUGUUGCUGAAUGGCUCAGAUGUGUAAAUGAAUGAGAUUCAGAAGCAACCCACACAGAGUGGGCUCCAGGGCUAAAGGUGAGAUCACCCAGUGUGCCUUCUAUGACAGGUUGAGAGCCGUGAGCCCAUCUGACCUCAGGAAAGAAAGACAUAGAGCAAAUGGGUACCACUUGUGUCUGCUGGUGCCAGGAGGCACCAGAGAUGCUCUCUGACCCUAACACUGCAUCAGCAAAAGGUCUGAAGGUUGAAAUUUUUAUUUUAGAUUUCAUCAAAAAUCUACUCUAGCCCUUGGAUAAGUUCUUUUAAAAAAAAUGAGGUAUAACUUACAUACCAAAAAAUAGUAAAAUUCACUCUUUUUAAGUAUAUAGUUCCACAAAUUUUACAGAACAUUUCCAUCACCCCCCACAAAGAUCUCUUCAUGCUCAUUUGUAGUCAAUACAAAUCCCAGCCCCCAGUGCCCACUGAUCUGUUUUCCAUUCCUUAUUGUUUUGCCUUUCCCAGAAUCUCAUCUAGACUGAAUCAUGUAGAAUGUAGUCUUUUGAGUCCAGUCUUUCUCACUUAGCCUAAUGCAUUUGCGAUUCAUCAAUUUAGUUGCAUGAAUCAAUAGCUUGUUCCUUUUUAUGGGUGAGUAAUAUUCCUUGGCAUAGAUAUACCACAAUUUGUUGAUCCUUUCACCAGUGGAUAGAUAUCUGGGUUGUUUCAAAUUUGGGGCAAUUAUGAAGAAUACAUGCAUACAAGUUUUUAGGUAGACAUAUAUUUUCAUCGUUCAUAGGUAAAUAUCUAAAAAUGGGAUUGCUGGGUCAUAUUGUGGAUUUAUGUUUACCUUUAUAAGAAACUGAAGGGCAGAAUA